Long non-coding RNA from Heterocephalus glaber (naked mole-rat), 372 nucleotides. The record is from Ensembl. Lineage: Eukaryota; Metazoa; Chordata; Mammalia; Rodentia; Bathyergidae.
GAAAUUAUUCAACAACACAUUUCCCUGAAUAGCACUUGGAAGACAAUAACUGUGUAAUGGCAUUAUUUGUCACAUAUUUUUCUGGAUCCUCAUUUUUUUUAGAUAUUCUUGAGUCCAUGUCAGCCAAUGGAUAAAAUUCAGGAGUUAUCAACGGAAUGAAGUCCAAUCUACGAUCUCCAGGUUAUAAAAAUCAUAGACCUAAAUGGAUCCUUUAAUAGAGGAAGAGAAAUGUGAAUUUAAAAAGAAGAAAAUACGACACAAAGGAAUACUGUUGCCGUGGUGCCAGCAUUUUCAAGAUCCCUAGUGGCAACAGUCACCUUCCAGUCCCCGUCUGCAAAGGAAAAAAUGAAAUCAAUAUGAAGCAAUGAAGGA